Molecule: ribosomal RNA, 497 nt
Filed under: uncultured bacterium
Lineage: Bacteria
Description: partial 16S ribosomal RNA
Rfam family: Bacterial small subunit ribosomal RNA
Source: RNAcentral
GACGAACGCUGGCGGCGUGCCUAAUACAUGCAAGUCGAACGCUGAAGAGAGGAGCUUGCUCUUCUUGGAUGAGUUGCGAACGGGUGAGUAACGCGUAGGUAACCUGCCUUGUAGCGGGGGAUAACUAUUGGAAACGAUAGCUAAUACCGCAUAACAAUGGAUGACACAUGUCAUUUAUUUGAAAGGGGCAAUUGCUCCACUACAAGAUGGACCUGCGUUGUAUUAGCUAGUAGGUGAGGUAAUGGCUCACCUAGGCGACGAUACAUAGCCGACCUGAGAGGGGGGUCGGCCACACUGGGACUGAGACACGGCCCAGACUCCUACGGGAGGCAGCAGUAGGGAAUCUUCGGCAAUGGGGGCAACCCUGACCGAGCAACGCCGCGUGAGUGAAGAAGGUUUUCGGAUCGUAAAGCUCUGUUGUAAGUCAAGAACGGGUGUGAGAGUGGAAAGUUCACACUGUGACGGUAGCUUACCAGAAAGGGACGGCUAACUACGUG